UCCUACGGGAGGCAGCAGUAGGGAAUAUUGGACAAUGGGCGCAAGCCUGAUCCAGCCAUGCCGCGUGAGUAAAGAAGGCCCUCGGGUUGUAUAGCUCUUUUGUCCGGAAAGAAAAGCAUCCAGUUAAUACGUGGGUGUCCUGACGGUACCGGAAGAAUAAGCACCGGCUAACUUCGUGCCAACAGCCGCGGUAAUACGAAGGGUGCAA
RNAcentral lists this ribosomal RNA (208 nucleotides) under gamma proteobacterium enrichment culture clone AB2. RNAcentral's name for it is "partial 16S ribosomal RNA". It matches the Rfam family "Bacterial small subunit ribosomal RNA", at positions 337 to 537 of the family's 1533-position model. The record is from RNAcentral. Lineage: Bacteria; Pseudomonadati; Pseudomonadota; Gammaproteobacteria.